This 506-nucleotide ribosomal RNA is filed under the name uncultured Glomeromycotina. RNAcentral describes it as "partial small subunit ribosomal RNA". It matches the Rfam family "Eukaryotic small subunit ribosomal RNA", at positions 591 to 1092 of the family's 1831-position model. The record is from RNAcentral. Lineage: Eukaryota; Fungi; Glomeromycota.
CCAAUAGCGUAUAUUAAAGUUGUUGCAGUUAAAAAGCUCGUAGUUGAAUUUCGGGAUUGACACAUCGGUCGUGCCUUAAGGGGUAUGAACUGGUGUAGUCAAUUUCUCACCUUCUGGAGAACCGCGAUGCCCUUAAUUGGGUGUCGCGGGGAACCAGGACCUUUACUUUGAAAAAAUUAGAGUGUUUAAAGCAGGCAUUUUGCUUGAAUACAUUAGCAUGGAAUAAUAAAAUAGGACGGCAUGAUUCUAUUUUGUUGGUUUCUAGGAUCACCGUAAUGAUUAAUAGGGAUAGUUGGGGGCAUUAGUAUUCAAUUGUCAGAGGUGAAAUUCUUGGAUUUAUUGAAGACUAACUACUGCGAAAGCAUUUGCCAAGGAUGUUUUCAUUAAUCAAGAACGAAAGUUAGGGGAUCGAAGACGAUCAGAUACCGUCGUAGUCUUAACCAUAAACUAUGCCGACUAGGAAUCAGACGAUGUUAAUUUUUUAAUGACUCGUUUGGCACUUUACG